Molecule: long non-coding RNA, 304 nt
Filed under: Mus pahari (shrew mouse)
Lineage: Eukaryota; Metazoa; Chordata; Mammalia; Rodentia; Muridae
Description: lncRNA (MGP_PahariEiJ_G0002195.1)
Source: RNAcentral
CAAAACUCAGAAAGGAAAGGAACCUUCUCUCUGUGAGCAGAAGUCUGGGGGAGUUUCUGCUCAGCUCGUCACAUGAUUUUGGACAUUGUGCAUCUCUCCAUAUACCGUCUGUCCCACAAUGAGUGACUUGUGAACCCUAAGUUUGCGCAGCAAUAUGUCAGAAAUGUUGGGCAUCACAUCCAGACCACUCUUGGACUCUUCUUCCUCAGCUGCUGGAGCGAGUUCAGGGUGGCCUGAAGAGCUGCUUCUUAACCAUCCCUUAUUGCAGGUGGAUAGUAUAAGGCUCAAUAAAGUUGGUAGUUUG